UAGGUUUGUCCCUAAGUCAAAUUUGUUUUAAGUUUGACCAACUCUACAGAAAAAGUGGCAAGAUCUACAACACCUAAUACACAUAGUACAAAAAAUAUUUCAUAAAGAAUCUCAUGACGCUAAUUUGGUGUUCUAGAUGUUAAUAUACUUUUCUAUAGAUUUGGUCAAACUUAAACAAGUUUGACUUAGGACAAACCCAG
This 200-nucleotide microRNA precursor is filed under the name Hordeum vulgare subsp. vulgare (domesticated barley). RNAcentral's name for it is "MIR1435 microRNA precursor family". It matches the Rfam family "MIR1435 microRNA precursor family". The record is from Rfam by way of RNAcentral. Lineage: Eukaryota; Viridiplantae; Streptophyta; Magnoliopsida; Poales; Poaceae.